GACGAACGCUGGCGGCGUGCUUAACACAUGCAAGUCGACCGGAAAGGCCCUGCUUUUGUGGGGUGCUCGAGUGGCGAACGGGUGAGUAACACGUGAGUAACCUGCCCUUGACUUUGGGAUAACUUCAGGAAACUGGGGCUAAUACCGGAUAGGAGCUCCUGCUGCAUGGUGGGGGUUGGAAAGUUUCGGCGGUUGGGGAUGGACUCGCGGCUUAUCAGCUUGUUGGUGGGGUAGUGGCUUACCGAGGCUUUGACGGGUAGCCGGCCUGAGAGGGUGACCGGCCACAUUGGGACUGGGGUAGGGCCCAGACUCCUACGGGGGGCAGCAGUGGAGAAUAUUGCGCAAUGGGCGGAAGCCUGAUGCAGCAACGCCGCGUGCGGGAUGACGGCCUUCGGGUUGUAAACCGCUUUCGCCUGUGACGAAGCGUGAGUGACGGUAAUGGGUAAAGAAGCACCGGCUAACUACGUG
This 468-nucleotide ribosomal RNA is filed under the name uncultured bacterium. RNAcentral describes it as "partial 16S ribosomal RNA". It matches the Rfam family "Bacterial small subunit ribosomal RNA", at positions 28 to 507 of the family's 1533-position model. The record is from RNAcentral.